RNAcentral lists this ribosomal RNA (253 nucleotides) under uncultured bacterium. RNAcentral's name for it is "partial 16S ribosomal RNA". It matches the Rfam family "Bacterial small subunit ribosomal RNA", at positions 524 to 776 of the family's 1533-position model. The record is from RNAcentral.
UACGAACUGUGCGAACGUUAUUCGGAAUCACUGGGCUUAAAGGGUGCGUAGGCGGCUUGUUAAGUAGGGUGUGAAAGCCCCCGGCUCAACCGGGGAAUGGCGCCCUAAACUGGCGAGCUAGAGUGAGAUAGGGGUGUGUGGAACUUCCGGUGGAGCGGUGAAAUGUGUUGAUAUCGGAAGGAACGCCGGUGGCGAAAGCGACACACUGGAUCUUGUCUGACGCUGAGGCACGAAAGCCAGGGGAGCGAACGGG